Molecule: ribosomal RNA, 393 nt
Filed under: uncultured bacterium
Lineage: Bacteria
Description: bacterial SSU rRNA
Rfam family: Bacterial small subunit ribosomal RNA
Source: RNAcentral
UGCAAGUCGAACGGAGGACCCUUGACGGAGUUUUCGGACAACUGAUAGGAAUCCUUAGUGGCGGACGGGUGAGUAACGCGUGAGGAACCUGCCUUGGAGUGGGGAAUAACAGUUGGAAACAACUGCUAAUACCGCAUGAUGCAUUUGGGCUGCAUGGUCUAAAUGCCAAAGAUUUAUCGCUCUGAGAUGGCCUCGCGUCUGAUUAGCUAGUUGGUGGGGUAAUGGCCCACCAAGGCGACGAUCAGUAGCCGGACUGAGAGGUUGGCCGGCCACAUUGGGACUGAGACACGGCCCAGACUCCUACGGGAGGCAGCAGUGGGGAAUAUUGGGCAAUGGGCGCAAGCCUGACCCAGCAACGCCGCGUGAAGGAAGAAGGCCCUCGGGUUGUAAACU